RNAcentral lists this ribosomal RNA (464 nucleotides) under uncultured bacterium. RNAcentral describes it as "partial 16S ribosomal RNA". It matches the Rfam family "Bacterial small subunit ribosomal RNA", at positions 29 to 507 of the family's 1533-position model. The record is from RNAcentral.
ACGAACGCUGGCGGCGUGCUUAACACCUGCCAGUCGAACGGAAAGGCCCUGCUUGCAGGGUACUCGAGUGGCGAACGGGUGAGUAACACGUGGGUGAUCUGCCCUGCACUUCGGGAUAAGCCUGGGAAACUGGGUCUAAUACCGGAUAGGAGCCAUUUUUAGUGUGAUGGUUGGAAAGUUUUUUCGGUGUAGGAUGAGCUCGCGGCCUAUCAGCUUGUUGGUGGGGUAAUGGCCUACCAAGGCGGCGACGGGUAGCCGGCCUGAGAGGGUGGACGGCCACAUUGGGACUGAGAUACGGCCCAGACUCCUACGGGAGGCAGCAGUGGGGAAUAUUGCACAAUGGGCGCAAGCCUGAUGCAGCGACGCCGCGUGGGGGAUGACGGCCUUCGGGUUGUAAACGCCUUUCGCUAGGGACGAAGCUUUUUGUGACGGUACCUAGAUAAGAAGCACCGGCUAACUACGUG